GGUCCGGCGUAGCGAGGUGGGGCGGCUGAGCGCUGGAAUGUGUUCAGGCGGUCCCCAGGGCCCGCCACGCGGGAGCCCUUCUCUCGGUUCCAGAUGCUGUCACGGUCUCAGGGAAGUUGGGAGCAGGGCCCCUCUGGGAUGGUGUGAACUUAGCUCCUAAUACAGCCCAGUAUCCUGCCCAGUAUUCAAGAGGACCAUUUUUUUCACAUGAAAAGCCUUAUGGAUACACAAACUUCUCAAAUCAGUGUCAAGUUUUCACUGCAAGGAAAUAGAGUAUUUAAGGACUUGUCUCUCCGGCUAUGUUAAAGGGCCAUCCUCUGAGGAAAGCAGAGGAGAGGAACUCUAUUAUCUUUACAGUGAAAUGCAAAACAACUGCAGAAAAUCCCACUAAGUUCGUUCCAAAUGCUCAUCUUCUUCUUCAGCCCUGUAAGUCAAACAGGAAACAAAAUAAUUUUUCUUCGUGGAGGGCAGAGCAGCACUCCCCGCUCGCCCCGCAUUCCAAGCCCCAGCGGGAAUGGGCAUUCGGGGCCAGCGGGAGGCUGCGCCUGCCCACCCGAUACCCCUGGACUGAAGUUUCCGCAAACUUCUCGGCCCCGCAGCAGGCAGCAGAGCCUCGACCCCGACCCCACUGCCCACUUACUGCUUUUCCUGCGCGUCCAGGUCCCUGACGAGCGCAUCGCGCUUGUUCACCAGGGCCACCAGCUCAUCCAGCAGCAGUUGCUCGCGUCGCUUCUGGGCCUCAGUCUUCUGCCAGUCUGCACAGGAUGGGAGGCUUGUUAUCCACCUGCAAGGCCUUGGCAUACCCUGGCCCCCCUUCCCACCUUUACCAGUUUCCUUGUACUUCUCCGUAAACCAUAUUAUACAGAGUGUUUUGUGGGGAGUUUGGCUGUCACGGUAAGGAUUUUACCCCUAAAACCCUGCUUUCUAAAUAUUUUCUGCAGAUGGACAUGGCUACGGCUGGGCUGGAACCUGCAAAAGAGUCCAGGUGUGAAUCAUUGGCCAGCCGGAGGUGCGCACCUGAUUUCAGCCAAAGUGGGGGAGGGAGGGCUGGAGGCCUAGAACAGGUCGGCCGAGGCUUGGGUGGUGGGGGAUGUGGGUAAAUGAGGAGGCGGGAAGCAGAGAGGGGCGAUAAAAUCAUUCUGAAAAGGCUAGAGAAUCUGCCUGAGAACCUAUCCUUUCCCCCCACCCCCAUGCUCACCCCAUACAGCCCAUUCUUCGCUAAUUUCCUCUUCGCUCUAUUUUAGCAGUUGGAUGUAUCUCACACUGGGCGCCAUAUGCUUCACAAUAACUUUAAAAGUAGUGAAUCGGCUAAUUAGCAUUUUUCUUUGAAGUAAAAAAUAAAUUUGCUCUGCAAUAUUACACUGCAGCUCUCGAUCGCAUCACAGCCAGUUUUCUUUUGGAGAGGUUUGCUGGGUAGUUUCAAAUCAAAGCACUUUUGCAAAGGAAAAAUUCCAUACUUCUUUUUGAAAUCCCAUGUUAAAGGUUGGAAAAUCCGAUGGGCAGUGCUCUUUCCAUGGGUAGGAGCAGUUUUUUGACGGUUUUAAAUACCAAUAAAAAUUUCCUAAUCUUUGCUAGUCUGAUAAUUUCCUUAAGAUGAGCAGCAGUUUGGUUUAAUAAAAACAGGACCUAAUCGAACAUUUAAAGCACUUUUGAAACCAAAGCCAACUGCUCUCUGGCCAGACUGUAAGGGCUUGUAGCUGUCAAUCAACCCCCAGUCUACCCCGCCUCCCUCAUUAGGAAGGUAAACAAUGAAAAGAAGAAGUAGAUGAUGAGGCAGAUAGCAGAACAAAUGAGGACCUAGAGGGAAACAGGACACCAGCUUAAAAAAAAAA
Long non-coding RNA from Pteropus alecto (black flying fox), 1832 nucleotides. RefSeq lists it as uncharacterized. NCBI's taxonomy places the organism in Eukaryota, Metazoa, Chordata, Mammalia, Chiroptera, Pteropodidae. The record is from RefSeq and is a predicted model, not a curated record. The transcript has 4 exons.